Molecule: ribosomal RNA, 497 nt
Filed under: uncultured bacterium
Lineage: Bacteria
Description: partial 16S ribosomal RNA
Rfam family: Bacterial small subunit ribosomal RNA
Source: RNAcentral
GAUGAACGCUGGCGGCUUGCCUAAUACAUGCAAGUCGAGCGAACAGACGAGGAGCUUGCUCCUCUGACGUUAGCGGCGGACGGGUGAGUAACACGUGGAUAACCUACCUAUAAGACUGGGAUAACUUCGGGAAACCGGAGCUAAUACCGGAUAAUAUAUUGAACCGCAUGGUUCAAUAGUGAAAGACGGUUUUGCUGUCACUUAUAGAUGGAUCCGCGCCGCAUUAGCUAGUUGGUAAGGUAACGGCUUACCAAGGCAACGAUGCGUAGCCGACCUGAGAGGGUGAUCGGCCACACUGGAACUGAGACACGGUCCAGACUCCUACGGGAGGCAGCAGUAGGGAAUCUUCCGCAAUGGGCGAAAGCCUGACGGAGCAACGCCGCGUGAGUGAUGAAGGUCUUCGGAUCGUAAAACUCUGUUAUUAGGGAAGAACAAAUGUGUAAGUAACUAUGCACGUCUUGACGGUACCUAAUCAGAAAGCCACGGCUAACUACGUG